AGUAGCAACCUAACCUAGCAAACCAAACAGAAACCAUCUCAGCUGAAGUCUAACAAUUUUGAUAAACUUUCAAUAAACAGAUUUCAUUUCAUGCUCGAAGUUUCAUUAGACAUUCUGUGCUUAAUGAUACAAGCGCGUUUCAUGAAAACUUACGAUUUGCUAUUUUGCCUUUGGCUGAAAUGGGUUUUGCUUGCUUUUGACUUUGCUGUUUCGGAACUUUAUCAUUUUGACCGUUGUUUGGCAAACAAAGCUUCAAAUAUUUGUGAUAAGGUAAAUUAAUAAAUCUAACCCAGGUGAGGUUGGAGGUAAAGAUACAAUAUAUAAGUAUAACAAUAAAGUUGUAAACUUGAUUUACUGUUAAGUUGUUCACUGUUUCAAUGGGUAACAUAAUUUACUAUUUUUCAACAGUCUUUUUCACAAUCAAUUUUGUCCAUGCAAUUAAUUUUGACGAUGAAAACAAGCGAAAAAGAUUACAUGUGAUUUUACAAAAGAAACAAGUUGCAAUGUAACAACAGCCAAGCGUAAAUAUUACCAAUUGUUGUUUGAUUGUUGACUACAUUUCUUUCAACAUUCAAUUCAUACAAUUCAAUCACAUCAUGGCUAUUAGAGUCACUUUUUCCCUUUCAUUAAAUCAUUUUCAUCUUAUUGAUUCUUUACGUUAACUUCCUUUAUUUCCCUGUAGAUAAUACACUUUUUUACCUUGUUUUUCCUUCUUUUUUCUUACACAAAGUUUAACUCUCCUAUUCACCGUGUUAUUGGCCAUCUUUUUCACUAUCAUUGUCAUUAUUAUUAUCACCAUCAUCAUAAUCAUCGUUGUCAUUUUCAUCUCUAUUACUAGUGGUUUUGGGAAAGUAAAUGACGAAGGAGGAAGAUGGAUAACAGGAAGAAACAGAAGUGGUGAGACUUAUUAUGGACUAUGAAAUAUCUUUUCCCAUCAUCAUCAUCAUCAAACAACAACAAUUUGCUAAUAUGUGAGGGGUUUGACUUGGAAGAAGUCGGUAAAGAAAACAUGAGAAAAAAGAGGAAUUUUCGUUAUUUACUUUCCAUAACAUUUCAAAGGCCUAUGUGAAUAUUGAGUAACGUCAAGAGGGAAAUUGAAGAUUCCCAUGCUCAUAGUUUUAUUAUUGUCGAGAUAAAGAAGACCAGACAACUGAAUGUCAACGGUGAAAAAAUGUCAACGGUUUUAUUUUGAAAAUUUGCAAAUCCACGCGACCCUGAAUCUCAUCGCCAUUACCAUCGUUUGUUACCAACACUACAAUGUUCAAGAUUCCUUGGGCACCAAUUUUCCCAUCGUAAUAUAUUUUAAUAGUGGAAGAAACUAAUAUAUUUUUUUGUUCAUUUCAGAUCCAACAAAUUCCCUGCAUUCUCAAGAUAAUAUAACACAUUGACAAUAAAUUGUCAACAAUCACUGAGGCCAAUUGAAUGGGCAAAUAUUUACAAGGAACAAAAGGAUAGACCAAGUACAAUAUGGACAAGCAACAUCAAGACAGAUUUGAUACUUUUUUACCUUUAACGGUUUACCUUUCGCCUUCACAUUUCUCCUUUUUUUAUCUAGUCUUCACCUUUUCUCUGUUGAUCGUUUUUUACCAUUCAUCCAUCUUCUAUACAUUUCUUGGAAAGUGCAAAGACAUAUUGUGUCCUCAAUAGUAAAAUCACAUAUUGUAAUUGUAAGAAGUUUGCUUUCUUCAUUCAUCUUAUUUUUUUAAAAGCACACAACGAACGGCCUUUUAACGGGCAAAAUAGAGAGACCUUUAAACUCUAUGUUCCCAUGUGUUCGCCUUGUUGGUAAAAAAAAGGUCAAAAGUCAUUGUCACACGGUAAGCAUCUUGCGUGAAGAAGCGUUGUUAAUCAUCAUCAAAAUUUUAAUAAAUUAUUUCAUAUUGAAA
This is a non-coding RNA of Tetranychus urticae (two-spotted spider mite), 1886 nucleotides long. Lineage: Eukaryota; Metazoa; Arthropoda; Arachnida; Trombidiformes; Tetranychidae. The record is from RefSeq and is a predicted model, not a curated record.